RNAcentral lists this long non-coding RNA (1029 nucleotides) under Oncorhynchus kisutch (coho salmon). RNAcentral's name for it is "lncRNA (ENSOKIG00005035806.1)". Lineage: Eukaryota; Metazoa; Chordata; Actinopteri; Salmoniformes; Salmonidae. The record is from RNAcentral.
CCCCCUCCCCAGGACAAGCAGCCGUGCAGCCGCGCACAGAGAGCAUCAUCAUAUUAGCUGUGAUGGAUUCAUGGGGAUAUCUACAUAUUGGUCCCUUGAUUUGCUUCAUUUCCUCUCUAUGGUUUCCUACAGAGCUACGCAGGCUACUUGAAGAGUCCUUAGUGUUAGGCUUUUAGACAUGGUGCAAAGGUCCGGAUUGGCAGAUCAGAUCUCUCUCCAUGCUAAACGGUUGCGUUAUCUAAAAGGGGUCAGUUAAAGAUGUUUAUUAAUAACAUUCCCAGAGAGAAGAAAAUAAUAAAAAGAAGAAUGAUUUGUUUUCGACCAACCAGAUGUCGGGCUACUGUGUAUAGGGGAGACGGAGUAGUAGAGGUUAGUGGCGUUAGAACCAGAAGGUUUCUAUAAUGAGAUGGAGCUACAGAUAAAAAACGGAAGGAAGAGGGAGAGGAAGAGGGAGAGGAAGAGGGAGAGGAAGAGGGAGAGGGAGAGGAAGAGGGAGCGAGAUUGUGACGACAUUGAAACGAUACGUGAUUCAAGGGGAGAGAGAGAGAGAGAGAGAGAGAGAGAGAGAGAGAGAGAGAGAGGAGAGAGACAGAGAUUAGGGUAUACAGUAUAGAGAUUGAGAUUGAGGCAUGUGUAGAAAAGAGGGGGUGUGUGUGGUACGCACUGCGGCCAGCCCUCUCCAGUGGACACAGUGAAGAGGGUGAGCAGGGCCCAAGGCACGUUGUCGUAGUGGAAAUCGUACUUCUUCCACUCCCGCUUCUCAGCUUUUACUUCAUUCCGUUCGUACACCAAAAACUCUCCCCUGAGAUACACACAGAAACACAAGGAGUUAGCAGACAGCAUGUCUGUGUGUGUGAGAGAGAAAGAGAGAGACAGAGGGGGAGAGAGAGACAGAGACAGAGGGGGAGAGAGAGACAGAGACAGAGAAAGUGAAAGCAAAAGAGAGACAGACAGAGACAGAGAAGAGAGAGAGAGAGAGAGAGAGAGAGAGAGAGAGAGAGAGAGAAAAUGGUAGACACAGCAAAACCU